CUCGCUUUUGAAACCGCUAGCAGCUUUCCUUUUCCCGGGUGUAAAUAACCGUGCGGAAUUAGUACCCUCGCCCCGGCCUUACCGCGGAAGAGAUUAUUUCGCUGGCCUCAGAAUGACAAAACGUAACAAAGCAACGAUAUUACUAACACUAACCCUACUCCAAACUCUAACCCUAAUCCUUACCCUAACCUAAUCCUUACCCUAACCUAACCCUAUGCCAUAUUUGUUUCUAAACCAAUCUUGAAGAAAAACGUUUUGACGAAAUAUCAUCCUGAGGUCAGCGAAAUAG
Non-coding RNA from Paramuricea clavata, 289 nucleotides. NCBI's taxonomy places the organism in Eukaryota, Metazoa, Cnidaria, Anthozoa, Malacalcyonacea, Plexauridae. The record is from the annotation of a GenBank genome assembly.